Molecule: ribosomal RNA, 421 nt
Filed under: uncultured Nocardioides sp.
Lineage: Bacteria; Bacillati; Actinomycetota; Actinomycetes; Propionibacteriales; Nocardioidaceae
Description: bacterial SSU rRNA
Rfam family: Bacterial small subunit ribosomal RNA
Source: RNAcentral
UGGGGAAUAUUGGACAAUGGGCGGAAGCCUGAUCCAGCAACGCCGCGUGAGGGAUGACGGCCUUCGGGUUGUAAACCUCUUUCACUAUUGACGAAGUCGCAUCUUUUUGGGUGUGGUGACGGUAGGUGGGGAAGAAGCACCGGCCAACUACGUGCCAGCAGCCGCGGUAAUACGUAGGGUGCGAGCGUUGUCCGGAAUUAUUGGGCGUAAAGGGCUCGUAGGCGGUUUGUCGCGUCGGGAGUGAAAACCUCGGGCUUAACUCGGGGCUUGCUUUCGAUACGGGCAGACUAGAGGUAUGCAGGGGAGAACGGAAUUCCUGGUGUAGCGGUGAAAUGCGCAGAUAUCAGGAGGAACACCGGUGGCGAAGGCGGUUCUCUGGGCAUGAUCUGACGCUGAGGAGCGAAAGUGUGGGGAGCGAACA